GGCUGAAAAUUCCCUGACAAUUGGUUAGUUUCUUGUAUCUACUGCAAGAUUUCACUCACUGUAUCUCCCUGCAUCGUUUCCUUAAAAUGGCUGAACAUGCUGCAUCCUGCCUUCAUUUUUGAUCACAUUCACUGUUUGAUUAACAUUUAGGAUGAUUCAUUUAUUAUUAUGCCUCCUAAAUGGAAAUGUGGAGAAGGUAGUGCGGUGGAAAUGAAAAAGAUAACGAGAACACCUGGGCAAGAAUAUGAAAUGGCAAAGGAAAAGAAAAUAUCAAGCAAGCACUCUCCUUCACGACUGGUAAGUUUGUUGUUAUAGCUUUAUUGUUUUUUUGUUGUUGUUGGCAUAUUAAUGGAUACUUUUGGUACUCAUGUCAGUAUGUAUGUGAUCAAUAAUAGCGUUUGCUGUUUCAGAAAGUUUGCAAGUUUCAUUACCAGUGAGAGACUAUCAGUUAUGACCCACAGAUGAAGCUUUUUAUUAAAUAUUACAAAAUGAAAGACUGCACUUCCCAAACAACUUUCAUUUUGGGAUUAUUUCAUGCAACUCCUAUCAUUCAUAGAUGGCAUGGAAAAUACCAGCAUCCUGAUCAAAGCAGAAGGCAAUGUUCAUUGCUUACUGUUGAAAAAGGGAAAAUAGUACAAAUCUGCCAGAAAACAUUCGCCAAUGUAUUCUCGCUUAAUGCAAAGAGGUUACAAGUUCUAAAUAACAAGUAAAAGAAGGGCGAAAGUAUUGCAAAAGAAACAAGAGGUAAUAAAAUUGUCGAUAGAAAAUAUUCAGAAGAGGCUAGAAAAAAGCAUUGUGGAUCAUGUAAAGUUGAUACCUCGGGAUAUCAAUCGUAGGAACACUUGAUUUAGCUUUCCACAUUAUUUUGUUAAUGGCACUUACAGC
Molecule: long non-coding RNA, 885 nt
Filed under: Androctonus crassicauda
Lineage: Eukaryota; Metazoa; Arthropoda; Arachnida; Scorpiones; Buthidae
Source: RNAcentral